UGAGGUCCCAAGGAAACAGAAACCAC
This 26-nucleotide non-coding RNA is filed under the name Rattus norvegicus (Norway rat). The record is from RNAcentral. Lineage: Eukaryota; Metazoa; Chordata; Mammalia; Rodentia; Muridae.